UGGCCUAGAAGGUAAAGGCAUCCGCCCUUCUAUCCCGCGUCCAGUCCCUAGAACGCAGGAGAAGAGCCGAACACUGUUGUUCAAUAUGGAGCAUGGCUACUCGGGGAGAUGCUGAGCUCGGAGAACCGUCUUCACUUCCAAGAAAUAAAAUAUCAGAAAGGAAUACCACACUGUGUGGUGAAGCUAAAGAAGCCCAGGCUGGAAAGACAGUGGCCUGUCAGCCUCCCUUCUUACCCAUACCAAACCACCCCAGGAGACACGGAUCGGAUAUUCUUUUGGCUUGGAAUGGCAUCUGGCACGUCACAAAUACCAUGAGGCAGUGUGAUCGAGAUUAGGGCGCGGUCCCCAGCAGCCUUCAGCGGGAUACAGACUCUCAGUAUCUGUUUAUUCUCCACUGACAGCCAGGAUCUAGGAACAGCUUCAGGGGGCGGUAACCACCCCAAGGCACCCUCACUUAAGAGUGAGUGUGGGUAAUCUGGUUAGGGGAAGGAAAGCCCACGGAGAGAAGGGGAGAACAGCAGAGAAAAGAGUCUCUCAGCUGGACUUGCGGAGUGGAGACACUGGGGCAGUUUGGACGCCAUUUUGACCACUAGAGGUCAGUGGAAUGUUUUCUAAACUCAACGGGUCACUGAGGAACCUGUAGAAAGAAUUGUCUACAGCAUCACCCACAACACCAUCCCUUGAAGAAUCCAAGUUUGUUUUGCUUUGUUGAGGAGCCCACGUCAUCCACCCUUCUCUGGACCCUCCUGUUAGAAGGUCACAUUUGCAAGACAAUGCUCUAGGCCAGGGAUGAGGGAUGGUGAGAAAAUCAGCCUGGGACUGGGACACCACUUUUCUCCGAAGCUGAAUAGCCCAGAUGUUCAAGAUUGUCCAUGAUCCCUUUUUUCUAGCAAAUACUGCCUAAGAUCCUUAAGAUCCUACUCACUUGCAGCCUUGCAUCCCGAGAGUCCUGUGGUUAGACCUCUGCUCCUUCUCUUCAUCAGUACAGAUCUGUGAGACUCUCCUGUUUUCCAAGGUCAGCAUUGAGCACUAUAGUGGAAUCUUAUGUGUUUAUUGAUAUCUCACCCCAUUUCCUAGACUCUGCUACAAAUGAAGACUGUUUUGUCUUCAUGGCUCAUCUUCUAGCCCAUGAGCACCUUAAGAACUCGGGUUAUGGGCCUGGAGAGAUGGCUCAGAGGUUAAGAGCAUUGACUGCUCUUCUAGAGGUCUUGAGUUCAAUUCCCAGCAACCACAUGGUGGCUCACAGCCAUCUGUAAUGAGAUCGGUGCCCUCUUCUG
Long non-coding RNA from Mesocricetus auratus (golden hamster), 1277 nucleotides. RefSeq lists it as uncharacterized. The transcript is spliced from 3 exons. Lineage: Eukaryota; Metazoa; Chordata; Mammalia; Rodentia; Cricetidae. The record is from RefSeq and is a predicted model, not a curated record.